GAAGUGAGCCAGACCGCCGCUGGCGCAAGGGCCGAAAGGCCGCGCUGGAGGAAGGUCCGGACUGCACAGGGCAGCGUAGCAGGUAACACCUGUCCGCCGUGAGGCGAGGAUCAGAGCAACAGAGACGAGUCGGGUUGGGGUGCUCCACCCGGGUGCUCAGCGAGGGCCGGCGAGAGCCGGCGCCCCUGCGCCAGCAGGGGCUCGCGCGACAGCGCGAACCGAGCUGCACCCGGAUUGGGGCAUCGAGCCCCUAUCCGGGUGAAACGGGCAAUCUCUACGCGCAGCAAUACCAAGUAGGCCGGCGAUGAUGUGGCCCGCGGAGCCGGCGGGUAGGUAGCACCGAGCCGUGCGAGCGAUCCACGGCCCAGAGGAAUGGCGGUCACGGCGGGGCGACCCGCCGCACAGAAUCCGGCCUAUCGGCUCGCUUCAUCC
Molecule: RNase P RNA, 432 nt
Filed under: Caldimonas aquatica
Lineage: Bacteria; Pseudomonadati; Pseudomonadota; Betaproteobacteria; Burkholderiales; Sphaerotilaceae
Also listed under: 1 other name
Description: Schlegelella aquatica RNase P RNA component class A
Rfam family: Bacterial RNase P class A
About the family: Ribonuclease P (RNase P) is a ubiquitous endoribonuclease, found in archaea, bacteria and eukarya as well as chloroplasts and mitochondria. Its best characterised activity is the generation of mature 5'-ends of tRNAs by cleaving the 5'-leader elements of precursor-tRNAs.
Source: RNAcentral